AUGGUAACUUGUGGUUUCAGGUCUUUGUCAUCAGAUUAUUUUGCUUAUUUUAGCAUUGGGUGCUCCAUGGUUUCUGAACAUCGUGGUUUAAGGUCUUUGUCAUCACUCAUCAGACAUUGUGCUUAUUUUAGCAUCGGAUGCUCCAGGUUUCUGAACUUUGUUGACCUAUGUUAUGAUCACUUAAUUCUUGUGGUACAUGAUUUCAUCCAUGAGUAUUUUCAGGUAUCUGUGCCAAUUGAGCCUGAAAUGGGCAUGUUGAUGUUAGUUUUCUUGUUAUAUUAUUUCCCAUUCCCAUGCAUUUAG
This 303-nucleotide ribosomal RNA is filed under the name Triticum aestivum (bread wheat). RNAcentral's name for it is "partial small subunit ribosomal RNA". The record is from RNAcentral. Lineage: Eukaryota; Viridiplantae; Streptophyta; Magnoliopsida; Poales; Poaceae.